Molecule: ribosomal RNA, 429 nt
Filed under: Acidobacteriota bacterium
Lineage: Bacteria; Pseudomonadati; Acidobacteriota
Description: Acidobacteria bacterium partial 16S ribosomal RNA
Rfam family: Bacterial small subunit ribosomal RNA
Source: RNAcentral
UGGGGAAUUUUGGACAAUGGGGGAAACCCUGAUCCAGCCAUCCCGCGUGUGCGAUGAAGGCCUUCGGGUUGUAAAGCACUUUUGGCAGGAAAGAAACGUCAUGGGUUAAUACCCCGUGAAACUGACGGUACCUGCAGAAUAAGCACCGGCUAACUACGUGCCAGCAGCCGCGGUAAUACGUAGGGUGCAAGCGUUAAUCGGAAUUACUGGGCGUAAAGCGUGCGCAGGCGGUUCGGAAAGAAAGAUGUGAAAUCCCAGAGCUCAACUUUGGAACUGCAUUUUUAACUACCGGGCUAGAGUGUGUCAGAGGGAGGUGGAAUUCCGCGUGUAGCAGUGAAAUGCGUAGAUAUGCGGAGGAACACCGAUGGCGAAGGCAGCCUCCUGGGAUAUCACUGACGCUCAUGCACGAAAGCGUGGGGAGCAAACAGG